CUGGGAACUCUAAAUUCUAUAGGCACUACAGACCAGAGGUGGCAGGGAUCCUGCGGGCAUUGACACGCCAAAGAUCAGAUAGCAUGGUUUCCACUGGAGAGUGAAGCCCAACCAGGAGUGAGAACAGGCUGACUUGCAGAGCUCAUUGGCAUUUCCUAGUUUGAAAUGAAAUAGGCAGGCAGCCUACUAAAGUCUUGCUUGAUCUGAAUUAGCGGAUGAGCUGUGGGACUAGUGAAUGAGUUCAGAGCUGGAUGACCAACACAGAGUCAUUGCACCUCGAUCACAUCCUACACUUGAGCCUUCGAUGAAAGGAGGGGCUGGGAUCCUUGGAGCAAACCAAAAGCAAUACCACAUUCCUGGAGGGAUUGCGGAGAUUGGUGCCACCAACAAGACUUGAAAGAUGCCAAAGGAGUGAGUCUCACCACAACCCCAUCAACUUGCCUAUCUGGACUGUGCAGAAGACAGAGGGAUCUGGGAGGAGGACAGUGGAUCAUUGUAGACAUAUGCACAACCUUCACUACAACCCAUAUUAGAACAUUGUCAUCACCUGACAAAGAACCCCCGGAGGAUUCUGGGGAGAUGGCAGAGCGGGAGGCGCAAGGAAUCUG
Long non-coding RNA from Lutra lutra (Eurasian river otter), 608 nucleotides. RefSeq lists it as uncharacterized. The record is from RefSeq and is a predicted model, not a curated record. The transcript is spliced from 3 exons. NCBI's taxonomy places the organism in Eukaryota, Metazoa, Chordata, Mammalia, Carnivora, Mustelidae.